Molecule: long non-coding RNA, 693 nt
Organism: Acanthochromis polyacanthus (spiny chromis)
Lineage: Eukaryota; Metazoa; Chordata; Actinopteri; Pomacentridae
Exons: 5
Source: RefSeq, a predicted model, not a curated record
CAUUUUCUGUGUCUGACUGUCCCCUUUCUGUUACUUCCUGUUCUACUUUGAAAGUGCUUUUACUUCUGGUCUUUGAGGUUGUUUUCCCUCCUUUUGGUUGUUUGUCCUCCUCAGUUUCACCUGAGUCCAGUUUUCUACCUGUUUGUGCUGCCUGCUUCUGCUCACCAGAUGACUGCAGCUCUCUGUUCUCCCACCACAGAAGAAGAACCAGUACUGCUAUUGAUCGCUGCUGUCAGCAUCCGAUCAUCUAAUCAGCUGUGAACUGAUCAGGUUUGUUGAGCGUCUGAGUCGAGUCCCUGAAGGCAUCGCAGAGACAGCAGAGGACUCGUCGACCUUCACUGAUCUGAUCUGUGAGACGUCCAGGAGAUAGACAGAGCCGCCAGACAGCCGAUGCAGCUGCACAUGUGGUUUUCUUUAAGGACACAAAGACCCAGAAUCCUCCUCUCCGUGGUGCAGCGUGACAUCAGAGGUGGCGUGACAUCAGAGACGGAGCGUGACCUCUCAAGCGCACCGUGACAUCACUGUUCAGGGAAAUGAAACCUUCAGGCGUCGACACGAAGACACGAGAGUUUUACUGAAGCUGAACUGAACAAAGAGAAGAGAAAGUCUUCAGAAGUUGUGCAAAGACGAUGACGGGCACGCAACUCACAAGAAAACUGAGGAAAUGUAGAAACAUUCUUUUAAAACCAUGUA